RNAcentral lists this ribosomal RNA (406 nucleotides) under uncultured bacterium. RNAcentral describes it as "partial 16S ribosomal RNA". It matches the Rfam family "Bacterial small subunit ribosomal RNA", at positions 30 to 526 of the family's 1533-position model. The record is from RNAcentral.
AUUGAACGCUGGCGGCAGGCCUAACACAUGCAAGUCGAACGAGUGGAGGAAGGGUGAGUAAUGUCUGGGAAACUGCCCGAUGGAGGGGGAUAACUAGUGGAAACGGGAGCUAAUACCGCAUAACAUGGGAUGUGCCCAGAUGGGAUUAGCUAGUGGGUGGGGAAAAGGCUCACCUAGGAGACGAUCCCUAGCUGGUCUGAGAGGAUGACCAGCCACACUGGAACUGAGACACGGUCCAGACUCCUACGGGAGGCAGCAGUGGGGAAUAUUGCACAAUUGGCGCAAGCCUGAUGCAGCCAUGCCGCGUGUAUGAAGAAGGCCUUCGGGUUGUAAAGUACUUUCAGCGGGGAGGCGUUACCCGCAGAAGAAGCACCGGCUAACUCCGUGCCAGCAGCCGCGGUAAUUC